CACAGCAGAAUGAACCGCCUGGUAUAAAUUUAACAGCUUGAAUAUUUUCAUGAGUAAACAAAAAUAAAAUUUAAAAACACUCAGCUCAGUAAUAGCUCAGAUUUACCCUGAAUAAAUAGUGAACACACUGUACACCUUAUAUUGAUCCACACAUCCAUCUAUUUCUUGUGUGGUUGCAGAGAAUGGCUCAGCCUGUUCUUCAAUCUCUGACAGCUGUCAAUCAUUUCAGCUCAUCUGUCAAUUGGAGUUCACUUGAAUGUGUGUGCGCUAUGCUUUUUUUCAUGCACUUUCUGUUUGCAUUAGCCAUCAUUUUAUUAUUAGCUUUUCUAGGUCUUUAGCUUGCAUGUGUUAUUCUGUGCAUGCAUGUACGAGUGUGUUUGUGCGCGUGUCUGCUUGCUAUAGGCUCUAGGCGGCAGCCGGCGCAGUCAAAGGCGGUCUAAUAUUAGCACCUCACUGAUGGCUUGCUGUAUCUGGACGAAAGAGGGUGAUAAAUGAGGAUAGCAAGGGUGGGGGCCAUGGAGCCGAGGGGGAAAUUUAAAAGGGAUAGCAUCUCCAUUUUACCACCGAAAAACCAUGCUUGCAUGUCCCCGUCUGCAUCAGCGAGGAUAUAACACUUGAUCUACAUGUGAUACCUAGAGAUUAGUCAGACAGAUCAAGAGCAUGAGGCAAGUGAAGGAAAGAGAGGAAGAGGGCAGUGUGGUGCUGCUUUGCGUUUCCUUUGCUCCGGUCGCUGAUUUGAUCCCACUCACUGUUGUCCGUCGCUAGUCUCCUACCUGCUCGCCUCGUCCCUCCCCCAUCAGCUCGGGCUGCUCUCCCCCCCUCGCUCUGCCCAAGCCUGGGGGAGCCAGUGGAGAUUAAAUGUAGCCUCUAUAAGCCAAGCACAUCAUGUAGCUGUGUUUCUAAGGCCUCUCUCUCUCUCUCUCUUUCUCCCUCACUUUCAUUUAAAGGAUAGUGUUUAUGAUGCUAGGCAUGUGGUAAAGAACUUGCACAAUGUCAAUGUCAUUGGGAUUACCAAAUGUUGGGAUAUUUUAUUGGCAAUGGAGUAAAAAUGACACACAAACAAACAGGAAAAAACAAAGCGUGUGAAAUUCCCUGUCUUUUUCUAACACUAUUUCUCUUUCUCAACCAACAUCCCCCCUUUGAGUUGAUACUGCAGAGAAGUGGGCCUCUGGCUUUAAAUGAUCACAGCUGUGCGAGCAAAUUAAUGGAUGAUAUUUCUCUGUUUCCCCCCUUGUUCACCAACUUUUUUCAAUGUGGAUUUAUAAAGACGGAAAGAGUAGACUAGGGAUGUCACGCUUCCACGUUUUUUUCCCCCUCCUCUUUUCAAUUGCAUGCAUCUCAGUCUGCUCAACUCCGAGAGAGAGGAAGAGUGUGCAUGUGUGUGUCCUGGGAGAGAGAGAGAGAGAGCGAGAGAGAGAGAGAUGGCGAGGGAGGGAGAAAAUGAAAUGUAAGACAGAUACGGAGAGUGAAAGAGAAGAAGGGGGUGUGGAGAGAGCGAGCUAGCGAGAGUGGAGAGCCAGUAACACUGUGCAUUGAUGCAUUUGCUGCGUCUCAGUCGCGCUCUUACUGUGGGACGUAGCCGAGGGUUUUUGGCAACGGCAGGCUGCCUGUUUUCCAUCAUCCAGUCGAGUUGGACCUGGAAUAGGGAUAUAUGCGUAAACGGAGUUGCCACGGCUGAGCAGCGCUGGAUGAGUGAGGCUGCGAGAGAACUGUGAAUGGCUACAUGCUCAUCCUCAUCCUCGCGCCAGGUACAUAACAAAUCAUCAAAGCUGGGAUUAAAAUUUCGUGAAGGAGCAGCUUUGACUGCUGGAAGACUUAAGCGUAUUAGCUUUAAAACCAAGAUGGGAGUUUCAAGUGAUGUAUGGCAGACUUCAAAGAUGUUUUAAUCUGUCGGUAGGCAUGCUCUUGCACAGCCUAUUUAUAUUAGAACACAGUGUUUCUUCUGCCUGCACGUCCUAAUCAAUGGUUUCUCCGGCUAGACCCAGGCUGAUGGUGAUGUUAACCAGUUAUUAAACAGCUGCACUUCCUCAGCUCUGCUUUCUCUGCUCUCUUUUAGUGGCUCGCCAGAAGCUGAUUAGAAAUACUCAACUGUUUUGUCCCAUUGUGAUGAAUAUUUGAUGAUUCAGUGGUCAUAACUUGACUUCUGUUUUGCUCGUAAAUUAUGGCAUAUGUAUUAGGAAACUUAAGAAUGAAUGAAUGUCUUUGAAUUAUGUCAAUAUACUCACGGCAAUUCGUAACUUUUUGAUUUAGUGGCUAAUUGAUUUUAAUUUGUACGAUCUGAUUCGUGUAAUUUAAUACAAUUUGCUCAUCCCCCAAUGACAGUUGAGUUUAGGGGCGGGGCUGAGUGCCACGCCACCUUUUUAAAAUUGUACAUUUUGUACGACUAAACUCGUAUAAUUAGCCACUAAACAUGAGAUCAGGCUGAUAUUUUAAAAGGUAUCAACUAUUUGAAAGAUGUAUUUCAUUUUUUUUUGUAUUAGUUUACUUUACAUUUUCAGGUAAUAUGAUAAAUUACAGCUUCAAUUGGACUCGUGUUAGUUAAAAGUAGCUAAAAGCUAUCUAUCUCCGGUGUUGUGAUUGGGGACAUUUUUAAUCAAAACCUUAUUAAUUGAUUUUUUGCAUAUAGUAAAGAAACAAUGUUAUCAAUGAGUAAUGGUGCUAUUCCUUUAAGUUUAACUCAUCAAAAUAAUUCAAUGAAUUCAGCUCCUUUUUUUAGGUUCGAUUUAGGUUGUGUGUUUGAGUCGGUUUAAUAAAAAUGAAAAUGACUUAAAAUGAAUUAAUUAUGCCAACUUAGUUUGCCCUUAAAAGGGCAUCUGUUGCAUUUUGGUAGGAUUUAAUAAGGAAAGACUAUGAAAGUAAAACACUUGGAAGAUAAUAAGUUACAGAUCCUUUUAACAAAAAAUAUUUGACACGUUUAUAUAAAGGUAAUUCUUGAACUACGGGCACUUUUAUGUCCUUUGAUCAUAUAUGUAGAGUUAUUGAUGUUUGCCCUGCGCGCUUGCUUUAUUUUUAGGAACUUCUUUGGUUUGGUGCGUCAAUCUUAUUAAUGCUAUUAUUCAAAAAAGGUAAUGAUUCACACUCAAUUAAGGAAGGCUUUGUGCCGAAACGUCUGUGUCUUUAAUGACCCGUAAAAUGUAAGAAAAUAAAAACAAUACAAAGCGAUUUAGUGCGAAUCAUUAUCUUUCUUUAAUCAUAUAUCCAAAAAUAUACAUAAUUUUGUUC
Non-coding RNA from Danio rerio (zebrafish), 3222 nucleotides. Lineage: Eukaryota; Metazoa; Chordata; Actinopteri; Cypriniformes; Danionidae. The record is from RefSeq and is a predicted model, not a curated record.